UGAAUACGAGACGCUAAGGCGUCGAAGUAGUGUAUGUCAUACUUCCAAGAAAAGCUUGCACUGUCAUAGAUAAAAAACGCCUGUACCAUAACCGACACAGGUGGGUAGGUAGAGUAUACUAAGGGGCGCGAGAUAACUCUCUCUAAGGAACUCGGCAAAAUGACUCCGUAACUUCGGGAGAAGGAGUGCCUUAUUAUUAAGGCUGCAAUAACAAGAUCCAAGCAACUGUUUAUCAAAAACACAGGUCUCCGCUAAGUCGUAAGACGAUGUAUGGGGGCUGACGCCUGCCCAGUGCCAGAAGGUUAAAGAAGUUGGUUAGCAUUUGCGAAGCUGAUAACUGAAGCCCUGGUGAACGGCGGCCGUAACUAUAACGGUCCUAAGGUAGCGAAAUUCCUUGUCGGGUAAGUUCCGACCCGCACGAAAGGCGUAAUGAUUUGGAUACUGUCUCGGAGAGGGGCUCGGUGGAAUAGACUUGUCUGUGAAGAUGCGGACUACCUGCACCAGGACAGAAAGACCCUAUGAAGCUUUACUGUAACUUGAAAUUGAAAUUGGACUUUAUUCGCGCAGCAUAGGUGGGAGGCGUUGAUUAUAAUCUUGUGGGAUUAUUGGAGCCAUCAGUGAGAUACCACUCUUGUAAUGUUAGAUUUCUAACUUUGAAUCAUUAUCUGGUCAAAGAACAGUUUCAGGCGGGCAGUUUGACUGUGGCGGUCGCCUCCUAAACGGUAACGGAGGCGUACAAAGGUUUCCUCUGAACGGUUAGAAAUCGUAUCUAGAGUGUAAAGGCAUAAGGAAGCUUGACUGUGAGACCUACAAGUCGAGCAGGGACGAAAGUCGGUCUUAGUGAUCUGACGGUACUGAGUGGAAAGGCCGUCACUCAACGGAUAAAAGUUACUCUAAGGAUAACAGGCUGAUCUCCCCCAAGAGUUCACAUCGACGGGGAGGUUUGGCACUUCGAUGUCGGCUCAUCGCAUCCUGGGGCGGUAGUACGUCCCAAGGGUUGGGCUGUUCGCCCAUGAAAGCGGUACGCGAGCUGGGUUCAGAACGUCGUGAGACAGUUCGGUCCAUAUCCGGUGUAGGCGUUAGAAUAUUGAGAGGAGCCUUCUUUAGUACGAGAGGACCGAGAAGGACAUACCUCUGGUGUACCAGUUAUCGUGCCAACGGUAAACGCUGGGUAGCUAUGUAUGGAGUGGAUAACCGCUGAAAGCAUCUAAGUGGGAAGCCCACCUCAAGAUAAGUAUUCUCA
RNAcentral lists this ribosomal RNA (1243 nucleotides) under metagenome. Its description in RNAcentral is "bacterial LSU rRNA". It matches the Rfam family "Bacterial large subunit ribosomal RNA", at positions 1564 to 2816 of the family's 2925-position model. The record is from RNAcentral.